CUCACGGACCAUGAGAUUGUGACCUGAGCCGAAGUCAGACACCCAACCAAUGGAGCCACCCAGAUGCAGAACUGCAGCCUGCGGGUGAGGGACCAGCCACACCAGGUGAGGGCCUUCCGGCCUCCAGCAGCUGGAGUGUGGUAACCAGCAGAAACGCCCACUGAGGCCUCCGCACAGCGUCCCCCUCAAAAGCAUCCGUCUCUGAAUAGCAGGCAGGCUGUCGUCUGGAGUGACAGGACUUUGUGGGAAGACGUGUCUGUGGAAAUACUGGAAAUUACAACUAGAAAAACCAGCUCUGUUCUGCAAGCUCUGAGGUCUUCUUAGACCUCCCUGGAACAAACGGAUUAAUUUGGAGUAACAGAUUUCUUCCUUUAGCCUCAGCCAUGCUGUCUCAAUGCCACACAGGUCUGUCUGUCUGUCUCUCAUCUGACAGUGUUUGCCUCAGAGCAAUGGAGGGACAACAAACAGUUCAGAAGGAGAAGGGAGUGUGUUAGUUGUCAGGGAUAAUAUGCAGAUUCCCUUUGCCUCACAUGGGGCCAUGUUCCACCAUUUCCCAGCUGCCGUGUUUGCACUUUUCUAGAACUCACAAGUUCAGGAAAGGUUGACCUCUACCCAGUGUGUGAGGCAAUCUAUUAGAGGAGUUCUGUUUCCAUCCCUGUAAGCAUUCAUUUGGAGUUGCCUAAGAAAUCUUCUAAGAACUCUUACAAAACUGAAAUCAACUCUCCCAAAUGGCAUGAAGAGUUUUUGGUUAUUAACUCUACCGUCUCCUGUUAGCUAAGCUCAUUUGUUUUCCCUCCGGAGAGAAGAGCUCUUGCAUCUAAUCAUACCUAAUCUUUCUGCAAAGAUGUUUUCCUUAAAAAAAAAAAAAAGUGUAAAUCAAGUUUUUCUAAAUCUAAUCAUAUGUUUUAUGCAUCAGGGGAACUUGGAAUGUAAAGGAAUCCCAUGGUGCAUCCUUCUGUAAAAUGAAGAUUUGCUCCCUUAUUAUUCAUUUUUGUAAAUCUGAAUAAUUAUUCAUUGGGUUGAAGGAGGUAUGCCUUUAUUUAGGUUUUUGCAUUUGGUGCCUUUCCAUUUCUUAUUUUCCAUGAGCUCCCAAAUGGGCACACAUUCUACUUUUUAGAGAAAAGGAAACAUAGCAAACAUACUCUCUGAUUCUGAGGUCUUAAGGAGCCUCCAAAUUCUGUGCCAGUGGAUCAUGAUGAGUCAUCGUCUGAUCGAAAAAAUAAACCUGCAGAAAACCUUGCUUCUGUCUUGCUCCAUAAAGCCAGAUAUCCAUUUCAGACUGUCUUGGUUCUAUUCCUUCCUUCUUUCCCUUCAUCUUCCCUUUUAGAAAAUAAAAAGAUUCACAGCAUUCUUUCUCAAUUUAAAAUAAGAUGGUGUCUAUUAAAGCUUUAUCUAGCAGGAAUUCCCCAAAUCGAGGGUCAUGAAAUUAUGCAACCACCAGGGAUUCUGGAGAGUCUGGUCUCUGAAGAUGAAGUUAGAAAUGAGGGAAGGUUUAUUGUUCAUUCAACUCGGCAGAAGCCACAGGGUCCUAUGGCAAGGAAAGGCUUAGCAAUCAGGGUGAGACCAGAUUCCCAACAUUUGUGUUAUAGACCUUACUCCAAAGGGAAACUUUCUUGAGGUAUUUUUCUACCCUGCAUCUACUGGAUCCCAAUUAAAGGAAACUGUUUUUAAGACAUGUCUUUUUCCCGUGAUAGAAAAACAGGGUUUCUUUCUUUCUUUCUUUCUUUCUUUCUUUCUUUCUUUCUUUCUUUCUUUCUUCUUUUAUCCAUCUGGAUGGGGAAGAAAAAGCAUCUGAUAUUUGAGAAAUGUAACUUUAUUAAUGAGAAACCUGUCCUACGAGGACAUCCAGGUUUUAAAUUUGGGAAAUGUCCCAAACCUAAAUCCCAGCCUAGAGGAGUCCAGUGCUAUAUGAACUGGACAAACUGGACUGUCCUUCAGUGAAGGAGACAUGGCCAAGAGAAAGUAAGAAUCACAAAGGCUGAACAUUUCUGUCAGCUCAAGUCCUUGGAAAAAGCCACAAUAUGAGAAUAAAGUGGCUGACUGAAAGCUUACUCAAUCAGGGUUUCACACACUCUUGCAGGAAUAAAAGAAUUCCGGGCAGGGUUUACCAAGUGCUUUGGAUGCCAGCAGGGGGAGCUCUAACUCUGGAAACCUGUCAGUGGUCACGAAAAGCUACUUACCAGGCCUAGACCUUUCCACAUACUGUUUGUUCACCAUUCCUGUGACUCCGGUCAUAGAAGUCAGGAACAAGACCCACAGGCAAUGUCACUGAACCAGAAACAGAUCUCCCUUCCCAUGGUCUCUG
Long non-coding RNA from Felis catus (domestic cat), 2305 nucleotides. RefSeq lists it as uncharacterized. NCBI's taxonomy places the organism in Eukaryota, Metazoa, Chordata, Mammalia, Carnivora, Felidae. The transcript is spliced from 3 exons. The record is from RefSeq and is a predicted model, not a curated record.